AAUGAGAUUGCUUGUUCUCUCUGUUUCUGUUCUUCUGGGGACUUCAUAAAGGGGAUAUACCUAUCCUGUUUCAAAUGUUGUUUUCAAAGGAUUAUGUAACUAGUCUCCCUGAAUCCGGAGAAAUUCCUUUUACAAGAAAAUUCAUGAGGCUCUCCUGGCUGGCUGAGCAACUUGAAGUCUAAAGUCUUGGCUUACAUCCAUUCUCUGCACAUCACAGGGCCUGAAGACAUCUCUGGACCCUGCUCAGCAACAGCUCUAACCAACCCAACAGCAACAAGGAGGUGAAGGAGGGAACAUCUCCCCAGCACCAACUGGAAAGGUGUCAACCAAUAGAGAACUCUUAGUUGGAUGUGUCUAAAGGCAUAGCCCAGAUUUGAUAUUGGGAAUUCUGAACAAUGAUAGAAGGGAUCAUCUGGCCUGCACUGAGAAUUCAGUCUGGGAUGUACAGGGAGACACUCAAGAUACACUCAUACAUUUCUGAUUUUCACUGCAUUAAUGGCUGUUCCAAUAGUAGUGAAAGAACUGAAAUCUCCUUGGGUUAGACACUGAUGAAGCCAUUAAAGAGUUUUCUCACCAAAGUUUCUAAGUAAUCCAUGUUCUCAUGGUAACAGCAAAAUCCCUGUUAAAAUAUAGUUGCAAAUAUCCUGUUUCUUUUUAUGGCUGAGCUGAUAUAUCAGACCUAGGAUAUGAGAUAUAUGAUAUUUCCAUUACAACCAUAAUGUCUCCUUGGGACCUAUAUGGUGUCACUGUGUAUUACUAGAUUUCAAGAGUGAUCUGGAAUACGAGGAUUUUAUUUACUAAAAUAUCACACACAUCAGUUCCUCAUUCAUCUAUUGUAAUACAAGGAUAAUGAAAAAUAAUAGAAAAUAAAAGCAAAUUCCAAUAUUUUAAAGCCCAAAAGUAACUUUCAAAUUUAGAUGGUGUGGAAGGGAGAAAGCAGAGAAAAAUCAUAGGAAAUAUUACAAAAGUUCUUUUAUCUGAC
This 982-nucleotide long non-coding RNA is filed under the name Gallus gallus (chicken). RNAcentral's name for it is "lncRNA (ENSGALG00010017081.1)". Lineage: Eukaryota; Metazoa; Chordata; Aves; Galliformes; Phasianidae. The record is from RNAcentral.